GAGUGGCUGAUAGAUGAUGUUCAGGAGUGGCUGAUAGAUGAUGUUCAGGAGUGGCUGAUAGAUAGUGUUCAGGAGUGGCUGAUAGAUAGUGUUUAAGUGUUCCAGAUAGAUAGUGUUCAGGAGUGGUUAAUAGAUAGCGUUCAGUAGUGGCUGAUAGAUAGCGUUCAGGAGUGGCUGAUAGAUAGUGUUUAAGUGUUCCAGAUAGAUAGUGUUCAGGAGUGGCUGAUAGAUAGCGUUCAGGAGUGGCUGAUAGAUAGUGUUCAGGAGUGGCUGAUAGAUAGUGUUUAAGUGUUCCAGAUAGAUAGUGUUCAGGAGUGGUUAAUAGAUAGCGUUCAGUAGUGGCUGAUAGAUAGCGUUCAGGUGUGGCUGAUAGACAGUUUUCAGGAGUGGCUGAUAGAUAGUGUUCAGAAGUGGCUGAUAGAUAAUUUUCAGGAGUGGCUGAUAGAUAAUAUUUAGGUGUUCCAGAUAGAUAGUGUUCAGGAGUGGCUGAUAGAUAGUGUUCAGGAGUGGCUGAUAGAUGAUGUUCAGGAGUGGCUGAUAGAUAGUGUUCAGGAGUGGCUGAUAGAUAGUGUUUAUGAGUGGCUGAUAGAUAGUGUUCAGGAGUUGCUGAUAGAUAGUGUUCAGGAGUGACUGAUAGAUAGUGUUUAUGUGUUCCAGAUAGAUAGUGUUCAGGAGUGGCUGAUAGAUGAUGUUCAGGAG
Molecule: long non-coding RNA, 699 nt
Organism: Oncorhynchus keta (chum salmon)
Lineage: Eukaryota; Metazoa; Chordata; Actinopteri; Salmoniformes; Salmonidae
Exons: 6
Source: RefSeq, a predicted model, not a curated record